Molecule: long non-coding RNA, 1766 nt
Organism: Lagenorhynchus albirostris (white-beaked dolphin)
Lineage: Eukaryota; Metazoa; Chordata; Mammalia; Artiodactyla; Delphinidae
Exons: 6
Source: RefSeq, a predicted model, not a curated record
CCAGGCAAUGUCCUUGUCACCAGACAAUGAUGGAUGAGGAAGAUGCAGUCCCCACAGUCCCACUGGGAACAGCAGACAGGAACAGAAGAUCUCAACGUAACGCAGUGGAUCCUGCCAGGCAGGUUACGCGGAGCCCUGGAGCACAGCUGCAUUUUGCUGGGGUCACGUGGGGAGGAAGAUGCCCGGGAAGCGAGGAACAGCUCUGAUCCACUGCCUGGAGGACUCGGGGCUGGAGGUGUAUGAAUGCGCCUGACUUACCACCAGCUCUGAGUUAGUCAUCAGACCCAGUUCAGCCCCUGCCCCGUGCAAGAGUCCGCUGCCUGAUACACAGGAAGGGAGAGAAGACGCUAUUCUGGGUUUAAGACUGUCUGCUUCCCCCCUGAUGGGCAAGCGGUUGCCCCGACCAGCCCGCAGAGGGUCGAAGGAGCAGGGUUUGUGCAAAACAGCAGACACUCAGCUUCUCCGGCUACUUGAAUUAUUGAUGGCAGGUAAUGGAAUUGAGACAAGGUGUGUUACGCAGUGCCUCAAUAUGUUCCUGUGUAAAAUGGAGACGUUAUGGAGACUUUAUUGCCUUGUGAGAAUUACAGGCAAUAACACAAAGAUACUGAGAACAAUUACCAGCACAUAGCAUGAUAUCAACACAUCUCAGCCAAUGACUUUCUAGCGUACUAUGACACGGCUGGGGUCUGUCAGUGAGCAGAGGCCUGGCACACGUGUGGAGCUUCUCUGUACAUCCAUCCAUUCCACAGAGUGAACAAGAUGGCAGUUCUGGGAUUCCAGAAAACAUGAGGUCUGACUUGAGAUCUUUCUUCAGCUUCUUACAAUCUGUGCACGAGUGAAUUCCUCGAUGAAGCCGCGUAAGUUAUGAAGAAGGAAGAGGUGUCUGCUACUUUACCCAUCCGGAAGUGUUUUCAUUGCCUUUGUUUAUUUUUCUUCUAAGCUGUGGAGAGAGCAGAACAUGGUCACGCACAAUUUCUGGGUGAAGCCACCUGCUAUCAUUUCCAGUGUUGAGAUUUCUAAGAGCCAAAGCUUUUUAACUCUGCACGCUUCAGUGUGUCAGCAUUAAACACUUAACUGUUUGUUUGUGUGUCAAAGAGGCAGGCCCAGCAGGGGACAAAAAAGAAAACACAGGAUUCCUGUGUGAGAAGAGCUUAGCAGCUAAGGCUGGGGAGGGGGUGAAGGUUGGGACCACAGGCACGUCACAACACACGGGAGAAAACCCACACAUGGGUGUGUGGCUAUGUACGUGCAUGUUUGCAUACAUACAUGUGUGUGCAUGUGUGUGAAUGAAUAUAUGUCACUGUGUUUUCCUGCGUGGCACGCGGAAGUGGGACAGCACUUGUAUGUGUGCUGGUGUGAGUGUGUGUUUGCACAGUGCCUCCAGGAACUGCUGAGUGGGUACUGAGAACUUAGGACUCCAAAUUGCAUUUUGAGGCAGGAGAAGACACUCCAAUUGUUUUUCGAUGGUGAAGUAUAACAUAUGUCAAGAAUGGUACACAGGGACUUCCCUGAUGGUCCAGCAGUUAAGACUCUGUGCUUCCACUGCAGUGAGGGGCAUGGGUUCAAUCCCUGUUUGGGGAACUAAGAUCCCACAUGUCACACAGUGUGGCCCCCCCAAAAAUCAAUCCAAAAUAAAGAAUAAUACACAAAUGAUUAGGAUGAAUUUUCACAGAUUGAACACAUUUGUGUAACCAGUACCAAGAUCAAGAAACACAAUAUUACCAGAAUGAUGGAGGCCCUCUCACCCCAUCCGAUCAUACCUCUCC